CCUACGGGGGGCAGCAGUGGGGAAUAUUGCACAAUGGGCGCAAGCCUGAUGCAGCCAUGCCGCGUGUAUGAAGAAGGCCUUCGGGUUGUAAAGUACUUUCAGCGGGGAGGAAGGGAGUAAAGUUAAUACCUUUGCUCAUUGACGUUACCCGCAGAAGAAGCACCGGCUAACUCCGUGCCAGCAGCCGCGGUAAUACGGAGGGUGCAAGCGUUAAUCGGAAUUACUGGGCGUAAAGCGCACGCAGGCGGUUUGUUAAGUCAGAUGUGAAAUCCCCGGGCUCAACCUGGGAACUGCAUCUGAUACUGGCAAGCUUGAGUCUCGUAGAGGGGGGUAGAAUUCCAGGUGUAGCGGUGAAAUGCGUAGAGAUCUGGAGGAAUACCGGUGGCGAAGGCGGCCCCCUGGACGAAGACUGACGCUCAGGUGCGAAAGCGUGGGGAGCAAACAGGAUUAGAUACCCAAGUAGUC
This 465-nucleotide ribosomal RNA is filed under the name uncultured bacterium. Its description in RNAcentral is "bacterial SSU rRNA". It matches the Rfam family "Bacterial small subunit ribosomal RNA", at positions 338 to 795 of the family's 1533-position model. The record is from RNAcentral.